UUUGAAGAGUUUGUCUUUUCAUAUGAUUUAUGGACUAAAACCGUUGAAGAUGCUUUGGACAGUUUUGUUCUGUUUGUGUUUUUGGCAUCUGGAUGGUGAUCAAGGUUACCCGCUAAAGCCAUGGCUAAUGACCCCCCUAACCAACCCGAGGACCGAGCAGGAACAGGCGUACAACCGUGCCCAUGCGCGCUCAAGGAGCACAGUUGAGCGCGCAAUAGGCCUGCUGAAAGGACGAUGGCUGUGUCUGUCAAGCACGGGAGGGACACUGCAGUAUCAGCCAGAAAAAGCAUGCAAAAUCAUCAUGGCUUGCAGUGUGCUACACAACUUGGCCAUCAGACAGGGCAUCCCUCUGCAGGAACCCCCAAGACCAGACGGCCCUAUGCCCGAUACAGUGCCCCUGCCACCUCCUAAUGCCGCUGGCAUUCAGACAAGACAGAGGAUCAUACAGACAUUUUAGCACCGCCUCACUCAGCACUCUUGGCGCACGGCGCAUGGAAGGGGCAAUGGAUGGGCCCGGCUCCUCAAGCUCCUCAGGCACAACGGGUGUCGCUAUUAAGGAAACACAUGUUCACAUUAAUUUAAUUGAGUUUAUCCUAUGAAUGAUUUCAUUAACAGUUUACAUAUUGAAAUAAAAUGUAUGCAAACACAAUAUCCUACUCCAGUUGGUUUAUUUUACCUUCACUUUGGGUGUUAGAUGGCCCGGUUUGUUCUGUCGCAAGAGCAUCGGUGUCACCGUCCUUAGUAAUCCCGGACAGAGCCGUGUCUCCGAUGAUGCAGGCUAUGCGGUUGUCCAAUGGGGAAAGUUCCGUUGUUGUCUGUCCUCCUCCAGUUGCGGACAUUUCUCGUCUGUGUGCUGUGACACGUUUUUUAGCCAAUACUUUAAUAU
Long non-coding RNA from Labeo rohita (rohu), 886 nucleotides. RefSeq lists it as uncharacterized. The record is from RefSeq and is a predicted model, not a curated record. The transcript has 3 exons. NCBI's taxonomy places the organism in Eukaryota, Metazoa, Chordata, Actinopteri, Cypriniformes, Cyprinidae.